UAGGGAAUCUUCCGCAAUGGACGCAAGUCUGACGGAGCAACGCCGCGUGAGUGAAGAAGGAUUUCGGUUCGUAAAACUCUGUUGUUAGAGAAGAACAGCGCAUAGAGUAACUGUUAUGCGUGUGACGGUAUCUAACCAGAAAGCCACGGCUAACUACGUGCCAGCAGCCGCGGUAAUACGUAGGUGGCAAGCGUUGUCCGGAUUUAUUGGGCGUAAAGCGAGCGCAGGCGGUCAAUUAAGUCUGAUGUGAAAGCCCCCGGCUCAACCGGGGAGGGUCAUUGGAAACUGGUGGACUUGAGUGCAGAAGAGGAGAGUGGAAUUCCAUGUGUAACGGUGAAAUGCGUAGAUAUAUGGAGGAACACCAGUGGCGAAGGCGACUCUCUGGUCUGUAACUGACGCGGAGGCUCGAAAGCGUGGGUAGCAAACAGG
This 429-nucleotide ribosomal RNA is filed under the name Bacteroidota bacterium. RNAcentral describes it as "Bacteroidetes bacterium partial 16S ribosomal RNA". It matches the Rfam family "Bacterial small subunit ribosomal RNA", at positions 355 to 776 of the family's 1533-position model. The record is from RNAcentral. Lineage: Bacteria; Pseudomonadati; Bacteroidota.